RNAcentral lists this ribosomal RNA (467 nucleotides) under uncultured bacterium. Its description in RNAcentral is "partial 16S ribosomal RNA". It matches the Rfam family "Bacterial small subunit ribosomal RNA", at positions 28 to 506 of the family's 1533-position model. The record is from RNAcentral.
GACGAACGCUGGCGGCGUGCUUAACACAUGCAAGUCGAACGGAAAGGCCCUGCUUUUGUUGGGUGCUCGAUUGGCGAACGGGUGAGUAACACGUGAGUAACCUGCCCUUUACUUUGGGAUAACUUCAGGAAACUGGGGCUAAUACCGGAUAGGAGCUCCUGCUGCAUGGUGGGGGUUGGAAAGUUUCGGCGGUUGGGGAUGUACUCGCGGCUUAUCACCUUGUUGGUGGGGUAGUGGCUUACCAAGGCUUUGACGGGUAGCCGGCCUGAGAGGGUGACCGGCCACAUAGGGACUGAGAUACGGCCCAGACUGAUACGGGAGGAAGCAGUGGGGAAUAUUGCACAAUGGGCGGAAGCAUGAUGCAGCAACGCCGCGUGCGGGAUGACGGCCUUCGGGUGGUAAACCGCUUUCGCCUGUGACGAAGCGUGAGUGACGGUAAUGGGUAAAGAAGCGCCGGCGAACUACGU